RNAcentral lists this long non-coding RNA (630 nucleotides) under Lathyrus oleraceus (garden pea). RNAcentral's name for it is "Pisum sativum (pea) long non-coding RNA (PSAT_LNC033636)". Lineage: Eukaryota; Viridiplantae; Streptophyta; Magnoliopsida; Fabales; Fabaceae. The record is from RNAcentral.
CAAAAUAUUAUUAGUUUUUUCUAAAAUUAAAAAGGAAGAAGACAAUAAAAAAUGAAAAUAUUAUUAUUUGUUAUUUUAUUUCAUUUCAUUACAAUCAUGUUACUAUAUAAACCCACAACUACCAGGUUCUUGAAAUAGAACUAAAAACAAAUAAGAUUGUUGGGGUAACCAUACAAUAUCCAAAUGAUAUGCGACAACACAUAUAUUAGGUGUUUGUGUGUUCUCUCGGGUCUCUCUUUUUAUGAGAUGUUUGUAAACUACUAAAGAUAUUUCUUUAUCUUCUCGGAUUAAGCAAUUCAUGUCCUAGUACUCAUUAACAAUGACUCUUGUUUAUGCAUGUUCUUUUAAAAGGAAACCGACAAAAAAAAUAUUUCUACAAUCUGAAUCAUCAAAACAUUUAAUUCUUUCUCCUACAAUAAAAACACACAAUAAGGUUAUUAAAAUAAUAAAAAAAUACAAGGUAUGAAAUAAAAAAUAAAGUGUUAAAUGAAUGAAUUGAAGUUUCCUUCAAUUUUCGAUCCAAUAAAAAAUAAAAAGAUUAAUAUAAUCAUAACUUAAUAGAACUUUAUUAUUUCUAUCCUAUUUCUCCUCGUUAUAUUUAAUAAAUUAUUUUAUAACUUUAUAGUUUAU